AGCCCAAACCGUUAUUGUUUCGGCAUUAACGGGGUAGUAGGACUGCGACAUUGAUGAAAUAAAUGAAAUGGAACACCUUGGAAAAUGUGAUCACAGAGGGUGAUAAUCCCGUACAUGCAAGUUUAUGAAUCAUAGCAGACUCCUGAGUAAGUCGGGACACGUGUAAUCCUGACCGAAUCCGCCGGGACCAUCCGGCAAGGCUAAAUACUCCUGAGAGACCGAUAGUGAACCAGUACCGUGAGGGAAAGGUGAAAAGCACUUCGAACAGAAGAGUGAAAUAGUCCCUGAACCCAUACGCCUACAAGCUGUCGGAGCCGCUUCGUGCGGUGACGGCGUGCCUUUUGCAUAAUGAGCCUACGAGUUACUCAUCACCAGCGAGGUUAAGUACUUCAGGUACGUAAGCCGAAGCGAAAGCGAGUCUGAAUAGGGCGUCAAGUUGGUGGUGGUAGACGCGAAACCUUAGUGAUCUACCCAUGGGCAGGGUGAAGGUUUGGUAACACAAACUGGAGGCCCGAACCGGUAAACGUUGAAAAGUUUUCGGAUGACCUGUGGGUAGGGGUGAAAGGCCAAUCAAACUGGGAAAUAGCUCGUACUCUCCGAAAUGCAUUUAGGUGCAGCCUCUGUUGUUUUGUUCUAGAGGUAGAGCUACUGAUUGGAUGCGAGGGCUUCACCGCCUAUCAAAUCCGGCCAAACUCCGAAUGCUAGAACAUGAAGACAGGGAGUGAGCCAGCGGGUGCUAAGGUCCGUUGACGAAAGAGGGAGAACUCAGACCAUCAGCUAAGGUCCCCAAUUAUAUGCUAAGUUGGAAUUAAAACGGGGUGGGACUGCUUAGACAGCUAGGAUGUUGGCUUGGAAGCAGCCAUUCAUUUAAAGAGUGCGUAACAGCUCACUAGUCGAGCGGUCCUGCAUGGAUAAUACGCGGGCAUAAGCAUAUAACCGAAGCUAUGGGAUUGUAGAUGAUACAAUCGGUAGGAGAGCAUUCCAUUCAGCAUAGAAGCAGUACCGUGAGGUAUUGUGGAGCGGAUGGAAAAGCAAAUGUAGGCAUAAGUAACGAUAAUGCGGGUGAGAACCCCGCACGCCGAAAGAUCAAGGAUUCCCCGGCAAUGUCAAUCAUCCGGGGGUAAGUCGGAUCCUAAGGGUAAGCCGAGUGGCGAUCCCGAUGGCAAACAGGUUAAUAUUCCUGUACUGAUCAUAACUGCGAUGCAGCGACGCAGAGGUGACACUGCUGCGUACUGACGGAAUAGUACGUUGAAACCCGUAUUCUUUGAUACCGGUAGUGAAGCACGCCGGUAGAGAUGAAAGGUGAUAGUACCGCAAUGCUUCGGUUGCGCGGAUAAUGCAGGUAAGCUGACUGCCAAGAAAACCUGCUAAGCUUCAGGUAAUGAUCAUCCGUACUGUAAACGGACACACGUGAUCAGGUAGAAAAUACUAAGGCGCUCGAGAGAUUCAUGGUUAAGGAACUAGGCAAAAUGGUCCUGUAACUUCGGGAUAAAGGACGCUCUUGUGAAAGAGCCGCAGAUAAUAGGCCCAGGCGACUGUUUACCAAAAACACAUGGCUAUGCUAAUUCGCAAGAAGAUGUAUAUGGCCUGACACCUGCCCGGUGCCGGAAGGUUAAGAGGAGAGCUCAGAGGUAACUCGAAGGUUUGAAUUGAAGCCCCGGUAAACGGCGGCCGUAACUAUAACGGUCCUAAGGUAGCGAAAUUCCUUGUCGGGUAAGUUCCGACCUGCACGAAUGGUGUAACGAUCUGGGUACUGUCUCAACCAUGAGCUCGGUGAAAUUGUAGUUCCGGUGAAGAUGCCGGAUACCCGCAACGGGACGGAAAGACCCCGUGAACCUUUACUGCAGCUUUGCAUUGAUUUUGGGUAACAGAUGUGUAGGAUAGGUCGGAGGCUUUGAUGCUGCGUCGUCAGGCGUAGAGUAGCCGUCGUUGAAAUACGACCCUUUUGUUAUCUGAGGUCUAACCCGUUAGGGAGACAUUGCAUGGUGGGUAGUUUGACUGGGGUGGUCGCCUCCAAAAGUGUAACGGAGGCUUCUCAAGGUACCCUCAAGGCGUUUGGUAAUCGUCUGCAGAGUGCAAUGGCAUAAGGGUGCUUGACUGUGAGACCGACACGUCGAUCAGGUUGGAAACAAGAGCAUAGUGAUCCGGUGGUUCCGCAUGGAAGGGCCAUCG
RNAcentral lists this ribosomal RNA (2172 nucleotides) under human gut metagenome. Its description in RNAcentral is "bacterial LSU rRNA". It matches the Rfam family "Bacterial large subunit ribosomal RNA", at positions 266 to 2447 of the family's 2925-position model. The record is from RNAcentral.